Molecule: long non-coding RNA, 1212 nt
Organism: Mauremys reevesii (Reeves's turtle)
Lineage: Eukaryota; Metazoa; Chordata; Testudines; Geoemydidae
Exons: 5
Source: RefSeq, a predicted model, not a curated record
UUUAGACAGUCUGUAAUGCAGGUAUAAACUUACAGCUCAUUUGUGGGAAGUUGGGACGGAGCCCCACUUUCAUGGUGCCUUUAAAUGAGCUGAGUAGCUGUGAUAUGAAGUGCAAUCACUAGAGGGCAAUGAGAGAUCACAAACAUCUAUACACCAUUGCAGAACAAUGUUUGCAUACAUCUCUGAAUGCUAAGAAAGGAACAGACAAGGGAAGAAAGGAUAUGACUCAGUUUGCAUUUCUUUUGAUGAGCUUCCCAGGUGGCUUCCCAGGUGAACAUGGCCAGCUAUUGCACCAAACGCGCUCCCACUUGGAACACCACUGAAUUGUUGGAUCUGAUCAGUAUAUGGAGAGAGGAGUCUGUUCAGUCGCAGCUGCAAGUGACCCGUAGGAAUCGGGACACAAAUGGGCAAAUUUCUCGAGGCUUGUGCAAAAAGGGCUAUGAUCAGGACACACAGCAGUGCAGAGCGAACAUAAAAGAGCUGAGGUGGGCAUACCAUAAGGCACAAGAUGAAAACCACCACUCCAGCGGUGCACCUAAGACCUGCCACUUCUAUAAGGAGCUGAAUGCUAUCCUUGAUGGUGAUCCCACCUCCACCACCAAUAACCCCCUGGAUACUUUGGAGGCAGCAGAAAGAGGGGAUCACCUGGAGGCUGAAAUUCUGGUUGAAGAAGUUGAGCUAGAAGAGGAUGUGGAGCUCCCAGCAGGGUCACCUGGUGGGGCAGGCAGACAGGAACUUUUCUCCACUCCAGAAGUGCUCAACAGGAGCAGGAAGCAGAUGAGAUGCUGGCACAGACCUUGAGGAACAAACCACGCACCCCUACUAACCGGCUUUGGCAGAUAAGGAAGAACCCUCGGCGCAGCAAAAAAGACAUGUUCCAGGAGGUGCUGCAGCGCGAAGAGAGACAGACCAGGGAACGCAAAGAGUGCUGGGAAGCCGAAAGACCGGACAGAAAAGAUAAUGCUGCAUUUGCUAGGCAAGCAACAGAGCGGAUGAUAAGUUAUGGAGGAUCAGACAGAGAUGUUCAAGUCUUUGGUAUAACUGCAGACUGAGCAGAUCCAUGGUCGACCUCCCCUGCAGCACAUGAACAUGCACAAUUCUUUGCCAACCCCAGCCCCUCUAUGCCAACACAUUCCUUUUUAUUUCACAGCACUCCUGAGUUUCCUCUUCACUCCACCCCCUCUCACAGCUUGCACAAUGAUAGCUGGAACU